AGCGUUGCUCGGAAUUACUGGGCGUAAAGGGAGCGUAGGCGGGUUAUCAAGUUGGGGAUGAAAGCCCGGGGCUCAACCUCGGAAUUGCCUUCAAAACUGAUAGCCUAGAGUAUGAUAGAGGUAUGUGGAACUCCGAGUGUAG
This 142-nucleotide ribosomal RNA is filed under the name uncultured Alphaproteobacteria bacterium. RNAcentral's name for it is "partial 16S ribosomal RNA". It matches the Rfam family "Bacterial small subunit ribosomal RNA", at positions 537 to 678 of the family's 1533-position model. Lineage: Bacteria; Pseudomonadati; Pseudomonadota; Alphaproteobacteria. The record is from RNAcentral.